UCUUAUUCAGAGUGGUGGAGGUACAUAGGACCUGUGAAGCCACGGCAACCCCCGGUAUGGGAAGGUGCCAACCUGAGCGAAUUUAUCGAACAAUAA
Molecule: non-coding RNA, 96 nt
Filed under: bovine gut metagenome
Description: SAM riboswitch (S box leader)
Rfam family: SAM riboswitch aptamer (S box leader)
About the family: The SAM riboswitch is found upstream of a number of genes which code for proteins involved in methionine or cysteine biosynthesis in Gram-positive bacteria. The SAM riboswitch acts at the level of transcription termination control.
Source: RNAcentral